This 536-nucleotide ribosomal RNA is filed under the name Colletotrichum cf. siamense BDS-2013. Its description in RNAcentral is "eukaryotic LSU rRNA". The stretch from base 182 to 335 matches the Rfam family "5.8S ribosomal RNA". Lineage: Eukaryota; Fungi; Ascomycota; Sordariomycetes; Glomerellales; Glomerellaceae. The record is from RNAcentral.
GGAUCAUUACUGAGUUUACGCUCUACAACCCUUUGUGAACAUACCUAUAACUGUUGCUUCGGCGGGUAGGGUCUCCGUGACCCUCCCGGCCUCCCGCCCCCGGGCGGGUCGGCGCCCGCCGGAGGAUAACCAAACUCUGAUUUAACGACGUUUCUUCUGAGUGGUACAAGCAAAUAAUCAAAACUUUUAACAACGGAUCUCUUGGUUCUGGCAUCGAUGAAGAACGCAGCGAAAUGCGAUAAGUAAUGUGAAUUGCAGAAUUCAGUGAAUCAUCGAAUCUUUGAACGCACAUUGCGCCCGCCAGCAUUCUGGCGGGCAUGCCUGUUCGAGCGUCAUUUCAACCCUCAAGCUCUGCUUGGUGUUGGGGCCCUACAGCUGAUGUAGGCCCUCAAAGGUAGUGGCGGACCCUCCCGGAGCCUCCUUUGCGUAGUAACUUUACGUCUCGCACUGGGAUCCGGAGGGACUCUUGCCGUAAAACCCCCAAUUUUCCAAAGGUUGACCUCGGAUCAGGUAGGAAUACCCGCUGAACUUAAGCA